Myotis lucifugus (little brown bat) is the source of this 76-nucleotide non-coding RNA. The record is from Rfam. NCBI's taxonomy places the organism in Eukaryota, Metazoa, Chordata, Mammalia, Chiroptera, Vespertilionidae.
AGACUGGAAAAUCUCUGCAGGCAAAUGUGAUGUCGCUAAAGAAAUCACACACUUACCUGUAGAGAUUCUACAGUCU